UGCAGCGCUGUAACCUCCUCGGGACGGGACAGAUGCCAGCCAAUGGGGAGGAGGAGGGUGUUCAGUGUCAGUUAGCUUUCCUGGCCUGUCAGCGUCACACACAUCCGGUCUUCUCUCAGCCUGAGAGGCGUCAACAGAGGGAACUUCAGGCAGCGAGUCAGCAGCAUGGGAGAGAACUGACUGUCCUCAAGUCACAGGGGAUACCAAGAGCAUUUCGUAGAUUCAUUAUUUUUAUUGCCGAAUAGCAGGGUUUCCCAACAUGGUCAGAAUGAAGGAUUUUCCUGAAUAUCUGAAUGGGACUUUGUAACCACAACCUUUUUGCCUUUUAUAUGUAACCUCCUGAGACCCGACCUAUUCAUUUAUGUCCAUUGUAGUGGACAUUGUAUUUUUGCAUUUAUUUUUUCACUGAUGUUGGGAAACUUAUUUAUUCUUCUUGUGCACUAAAUAGGGCAUGCUGUGAAAUUAAUUUGAAAAAAUCUAAAUUGUAAGAUGUCUUAUUUCCUCCAAAGACAAAUAACCUACAGUUGAAGGACACUUUUUUCCUUGGGUCUCAGGAGGAUAUAAAAUAUAAAUGACUUCAUCUAUAUGGGAUCGGCUUGAAGUCUUCCUGCCCAAGUUUGUUUGAAGUGGACAUGCAGCUUGAUGAGCGUCUAUCAAGUCUCUGUGUGUCUGUCUCAGACCAGCCUCUGAUGGGAAACCGGCUGAAAUAAAACUGGGCAGCCUUGACUCCAGGAGCUCUGAGGCCUUGUCCAGUGACACUGUUCAGUCGAACACUGCUGUGUCUCAGGGGCAGAGCAACAACAAUAGGUCACCUGCACCUGACCAGGCUGACUGAGAUGCUGUGUGUGGAGGAGCCUCCAGGCCAUAAGAGGGUCUGUAACGGUGUCGUGUAAAGGGUCUCUUAGGGACUGACGGUCCGGUGUGAGGAAGCUUCUGCUUAGAAGUUUAUAUGAAGGUUCCUGUAAAUCACAUCUGCUGCCACCAGCUUAAUAAUGUUACUGCUACUGUAAACUUCAUUUCUUUUCCUCGCUGAUUUUAACACUGAGCCUUGAUAGAUUAACCUCACAAUUAUGAACUGCAGAUGAUAAUAUUUGUUUGAAUUACUGUUUUUGUCACCUUAGUUUUUGUUGUGCUCUUUUAGUUUGGUAUCAUUUGAAUAUGUUUAAUUUUAAAUAACAAUAUCAAGUCAAAUAAUUUUCAGGAAAAAAUAAAAUUUCCAAAUAUAA
Paramormyrops kingsleyae is the source of this 1226-nucleotide long non-coding RNA. RefSeq lists it as uncharacterized. NCBI's taxonomy places the organism in Eukaryota, Metazoa, Chordata, Actinopteri, Osteoglossiformes, Mormyridae. The record is from RefSeq and is a predicted model, not a curated record.